UUAUUGGCAUUCCAGAGCAGACACCUCUGCUGGGUCUGGCUGUCUGUGCAUAAGCUCUAUGUCAGAUAUCCCAUGUGAAUCCAUUUCCAUCGUCGCCGUAAUGCAUUCAACUUGUACCGGAAGACAAACAGCUCCAUUCAAUUUUGUAACCUGUUGGCGGCACCUGAAUUCACUCCUAGGAAUAUCAAACUACUAACACGUUCCUCUUCGCCCUUCUUAAAUGUAAUCUCAUAGAAAAGGUUUGACGUGAGAUGGCAAAACGUAUUGCAACCCUUAUCAAUUUUCAUCUGGAUUCCGAGAAUUUCAUUGCAAUGCAGUGCAAUGGUUACUGUGAUGCGGAACGAGAGAAUGUCAAACUGGUUCACUAGGGGUUGAUGCCAAUUCUAUCAGUAAAAGUCGCCCCAUUCUUUUCUAUUCGAAGAAAAUCGUCUUGUAACCUGAAGGACUUCCAACCAAUUUUUUUACCAGACAAAUAUUCAAGUGGGGUGCUCAUUUAACGCUUUUUUAUUUUUCGCAAUCUUCUGCAAACAUUUUAUUUUAAAAGGAUAAUAACUAAUGGAUGUAAUUAGCAGCCGGUUGAAAACUAUUCUCGUCCGAUAUUCUUAGUUGCGUAGUCUUGUUUUUUUAGGGCUUUGCUACCAAGUUUAAAUUUAGAUAGUCGCCAUAGUGCUACUUGUGCGUAAAACGUGACUCGUGUUCUCGAAAAACGUAUAUUGACAAGGUCACUUUCUUGUAUGUUCCAAGUCGACGGAGACUCCUACGAAGAACACAUAUUGAUUGCAAACAAAAAUAAUAGCACUUACCCCCUUUUUUUUCUAUCACUCAACAACUUUCACAAUAUUCCAUGAUUGAUUUUUUUUAAAACCUUCACUCAAGAUAAAAAAAAUCUUUGACUUUCCAUUCCGCGCUAGCGUCUUUUAAGUUUCUAUUUCUGUCACUGGUGUAAGAAUAACGCACAAAAGGUUUGCUGAGAUAACUGGAAGUAAAAUUCUUAAAUAUUUUCUACACAAGUCGCAUUUCCAGAAGUCUUUAACUGAUAUUAUCUAUAUGAAACAUGUGUUUUCAAGCGCAUGCAUCAGCUGCAUAGCGUUUUGGAGAAAUGAACGUAAUCCAUCAACCGCACACUCGUCAAGUAUAGUCCAUCCGUCGUUGAAAAACUAACUGAAAGACAAUUAUGGAAAAAAACAAGUUAAAAUCAAUAUUAUGCCUCUCUUUCGAUUUAUUCGAAUGUGCAGCUUCCACAUAACAGGAUUUGUUGUAUAACAGUUGUUCGAAUCCGAAUGUCUCUCGAUUAGCGACGGGAGUUGGCCCUGAAGCUGAACUAUAAAAACCUCCGGUUACAACCAGUUAGUCGCAUACAUUCCUCCAAGCUUAGACUGUGACGACAAACGUUCUGUCGCUUCCGAAUUGGUUCGACGUCUAUCUAGCUGCAGCUGGGAGUAACCCUCCGAUACUUUCAAAUGUUAUCUUUAGGCUCGGCUCUACUUCCUGUCGUCCUUGUAAUGUGCGUGUGGAAUAGCAAGGCAACUGUCCGCGGAAAAAAUUUGAACGGACCUGAUCGUUGCAAGAUUGGAUGUUUACUGGACGACUAUUAUCCGCUCUGUGGAACAGACAACAAGACUUACACCAACAAUUGCUUUCUCUAUCUGAAAAACAACUGCGAAAAGCCUCCCUUUUCAAAGGUCCACAAGGCAUACGACGGCGUGUGCGUGUCCGGUCAACAAGGAUGUGAACUGCCCUGUAACGGUCCUGGAUAUUCGUUCAACCCAAUUUGCGGAUCCAACGGCAAGACUUAUGACAACGAGUGUGAGCUGAACGGCAGAAACAAGUGCGAUGGGACCAAGAUCGAAAAAGUUCACGACGGAGAAUGUGAACCGAGUCAACCCGAAGCGAUCCCUUAUCUAUAAAGAAGAAGACUACCGUGGAUUGUAUAGCUCGCUAUGUGAUGGGGGGCAAGGAUUGAGCGGCAAAAUGUACCCGACUAUUAAUUACGCCAUUUUACUGCUGGAAUCACGUGGAUACCAUCGUGAUAAGAGUUGAACCAGAGAAUCCAGUUCAAGUGAAUUUAAAUGAUAAGUAAAUCUUGGUUUAAUUGCCUAGUAAUAUCUAAAUUUGUCUGUUUGGACAACAGACGAACCGAACCUGUUAUUGUUCUUGACAUAAUAAUUCAAAAUGAUUUAUAGAAAAUUUUAUAUGAUUUUAUUUGAAUAUUGUUGUGAAAAUGAUCCGUCAGUGGAAUAAAAAUAAUGUUGGACCAACACCCCGCGGGUAUUUAAAAUAAA
Molecule: unclassified non-coding RNA, 2282 nt
Filed under: Daphnia pulex (common water flea)
Lineage: Eukaryota; Metazoa; Arthropoda; Branchiopoda; Diplostraca; Daphniidae
Description: thrombin inhibitor rhodniin-like, transcript variant X2
Source: RNAcentral